This 7652-nucleotide long non-coding RNA is filed under the name Citrus maxima (pomelo). Its description in RNAcentral is "long non-coding RNA (CMAX_LNC001431)". Lineage: Eukaryota; Viridiplantae; Streptophyta; Magnoliopsida; Sapindales; Rutaceae. The record is from RNAcentral.
CAAUCAUACAUACCUGUACAAGGAAAGCCAUGUCAACUACCACUGCCGUAAUUACACCAAUUACAAGGCCCAAAACUCCAUUAGCAACAGUAGAAGAACAUGCCAACAUCAAUCUACAGAAAGAUGAACAAUGUUAAACCAUGUUAAUGGUAUUGAACAAGCUAUUUGAAAGCGAACACAUCCCAUGUACUAUAGAAAUUCGAAGAGCAUUUACUUCUAAGUACUUAGGACCGCGGAUAUAGUUACAAUCAACUGCUUUUCCUAAUAAACAAGGGGUGCUCCCAUCACUCUGGCGCACGAUCCAUGACCCCUGCAUGAUUCGGUGCUUAAAAUCAAGAACAAAUGCAAAACAAAUUCAAAUCAGUAGAAAAAGGAAAUGAAGUUUGAAGGUACAACCCAUUAAUACACUUACACUUAAAUGCAUGCCUUCAUUGUACAAAUUGAAGUGUACUAUGCAGCGGAGGGUACGUAUUAGUUAACAUAGUCCUAAUACAUGAAGACCAAGACGGAUACCUUAAGAACGGAUGGGAUAAGUUUCAGCCUACUAUUGCGAAAUUCAUCAUCGCCGUCAACAAACCAUUGCAAAAGGGAUCCUGUAAUUAAUUCCCUUGUAGAUGUAGAUGCUUACGUUACAACCAUACAACCUCCCAAAACGAUUAGUUUGAAACUUAAUACCUUCUGAAAUGAAACAAGCUUACUUGAAGAUUAAAGAUCAGUGAGAAAAGCCCUUUUUCAGAAGCAACCUACAUAUUUUAGAAUAGGGCUCAGAGUGUUAUAGAUUCAAUGAACCACCAGAAGUUAUUUACAUUGUAGUAUCUCAUAGGCAGUAUUUUCUUCUAAUCCGUCAAUGGAAAAGGAAAAAUAAAAAAGAAAAGAAUAGUUACUUGUGCAGCACAGCCUUGACGCCUAGCUACAUGGUCCAUUCUCUUUGUGUCUUUGAACUAAUCAACAGCAACAAGAUCCAUUAAAUGUUUUCCCACAUGUAUCUGCAGUUACAAAUUGCACAAAGAGCAAGAAGAACCAACCAAACUACAUCGUUACAUGUCGAACUAGAAUAUGUCGGAUAUAUAAAUACCAUAAGAAACAACUGAUAAGCCCUAAACUGAAACGGUUAGAUAAACAACACAGUAGAGAGCAGAAUGUUGUUGGAAGUAGGAAAACUGGUAUUUAUCUGCAGAAAUAAACCAAAACACCCAAGCAUUCGAAAGGCUUGGUAUCUCUCCCAAAAUGAACAAGCUCACUACGAAAUAAUUCUCUAGAUCCCCUUCCCAAAAAACAGCUCCUCUCCAUAUAACCUCCUCACUUCUACGCCCAAAUAGAAUAACAGAAAACUCUAACAAAUUAUCAAAACAGAAUACCAUCAACUUAUCACUAACAGAAAUGCAUAACAAACUCUUUUAUCUAUACUACUUGAUGACACGUCAGCCACGAUUGGUAUUUCUGGAAUUACCCUUGCGCCUUGCAUAUGUGAAACGCACUUGUGGCCUAACAUUACCAUCCGCCCAAACUUUCACCUUGUCCUCAAGGUGGAAAUCGGGAAAUUGUUGUUAGAUCAGAUGAAAAUCCUCCCAAGUUGCCUGAAACUCAGCCAAGGAUUUCCAUUGGAGCAGCACCUCCGCUUCACCGGAUUGACCAUUAACCUUACGACGAACUCCCAACAAUUUUUCAGGUUCCACCACGAGUUCAAGCUCAGGAGUCAACUGUGGGGGGAUGGUGGGGGAAAAAGAUGACACACCAAGUGCUGCCCUCAACUGCGAAACAUGAAAGACAGGGUGGAGUUUUGCUGUUUGAGGCAAUUUUAGUUUGUAUGCCACCUUCCAGAUACGCUGAAGAACCUUAAAUGGUCUACCAAGUCGUCCAAUAUGGCAUCACGAUCCUCCAUUAACUGUUCUACCAAAGAUACCGAAGCAGCUCCUUGCUCAUACCGAAUAAGAGGGGGUGGAUCCCUUCCAUAGAGAGCACGAAAUGGAGUACAACGUGUAGAAGAGUGGAAGGAAGUAUUAUACCAAUACUUAGCCCAUGCCAACCAGCGAGCCCAACUUCGAGGUUUUCCAGAAGCAAAGCAGCGUAGAUACGUUUCUAGACAACAGUUGACAACUUCUGUUUGUCCAUCAGAUUGUGGAUGAUAGGCGGUGCUUCGUUUGAGAGUAGUUCCCUGCAGCUUGAACAAUUCACUCCAAAAAUGGCUCAAGAAUAUCUUAUCUCGGUAAGAGAUAAUUGACUGUGGUAUCCCAUGAAGCCUAAAAAUUUCACGAACAAAGAUUCCAGCAACCGAAACAGCAGAAAAAAGGAUGUUUCAAUCCUAUGAAGUGAGCAUACUUACUCAGCCUGUCCACCACUACUAAGAUGGCAUCCCACCCUUUAGAACGAGGCAGCCCCUCAAUAAAAUCAAGUGUGACUUCCUACCAAACCUGGGCUGGUAGUGGAAUAGGUUGAAGUAACCCCGCAGGAGUAGUGGCCAAAUACUUAUUCUGCUGGCAGAUGGUGCAUUCCCGUACAAAUCUGGUGGCAUCCUUGCGCAUACCUAUCCAAUACAAUUCUGCUGCUAAGCGUUGGUAAGUUUUUGUUUCUCUCGAAUGUCCCCCAAUUGGAGUGGUGUGAAACUCUCCUAUGAGAGCAGAAAGAAGCUUAGUAGUCCGAGGAAUAACCAGCCGACUCUUGUAGAACAAUAAUCCAUGCUCAACUGAUAACCCCAUGUGAGAUUGUGUACCCGAAGUUAUGUCUUCCCUAAGUUUCUUCAGAAAGGUAUCCUUUGCCAACUCAACCUUUAAGGAAUCCCAAUGUUGCCACUGAGGAAUCGCCAAAGCUGAACACUUUGCUGAUUCUGUUAAGCGUGAGAGUGCAUCCGCUACUCAAUUACUUGCCCCACUACGAUAUUGAAUAUCAAAAUCAUAUCCCAUGAUUUUGGUGAUCCAUUUUUGAUAUUCAACUCCAACAAUCCUUUGCUCUAAAAGAAAUUUUAAGCUCUAUUGGUCUGUUCGCACAACGAAUCGCCUUCCCAACAAGUACGGCCGCCAUUUCAGGAUUGCAAACACUAUGACCAUUAGUUCUUUCUCAUAUAUGGACUUAAGACGAGCCUGGGGCCCCAAAACUUGGCUAUAGUAAGCUACUGACUGUUGCCCUUGUAGUAGAACAGCUCCUAACCCAAAACUAGAUGCAUCAGUCUUAACAAUAAAUGGCUUUGUGAAAUCAGGCAUUGCCAACACAGGGAUUGAAGACAUAGCUUGUUUGAGUUCUUCAAAUGUCGCUGCAGCUUCUAGACUCCACCCAAACCUAUCUUUCUUGAGCUGAUCAGUCAAUGGCGAUGCGAUUCUAGCAUACCCAGCCACGAACUUUCUAUAAUACCCCGUCAAUCCCAGAAAUCCCCUUAACGCUUUCAGAUUAGUGGGCGUUGGCCACGAGUUCAUGGCUUGGAUUUUACUUGGAUCCGCUGCCACCCCUUGUCCUGAGAUGAUAUGGCCUAAAUAUGCCACUUGAGUCCUUCCAAACUUGCAUUUUUUUCGGUUGGCAUAAUGGCUGUUGGCCUGCAAUAUUCCCAAGACGAGAGCCAGGUGCCGCUGAUGGGAUUCCACUGAAGGGCUGUAAAUUAGAAUGUCAUCGAAGAACACUAGAACAACCUUCCGAAGAUAAAGUCGGAAGACAUCAUUCAUCAAGGAUUGGAAAGUCGCCGGGGUAUUCGUUAGUCUGAAAGGCAUGACAAGAAACUUGUAGUGUCCAUCAUGCGUUUGAAAAGCAGUCUUAUGAACAUCCUGACUACUGACUCUGAUUUGAUGGUAGCCCGACUUUAAAUCUAGCUUGGAAAAAAUUCUAGCACCAUGUAACUCAUCUAGGAGUUCAUCAAUGACAUUGAUGGAAUACUUAUCUAGUACCGUCGCUUUGUUGAGAGCCCUGUAAUCCACACAAAAACGCCACGAUUCGUCUUUCUUUUUAACUAACAAAAUUGGGCUCAAGAAUGGACUAUUGCUGACUUGGAUUAUUCCCGCAUCUAACAUCUCUUGAAUCAGUCUUUCAAUCUCAUCCUUCUGGGCAUGAGGAUAGUGGUAUGGUCGGACACUAACAGGUUGAUUGCCGUCUUUGAGCAAAAUGGAAUGCUCAUGUCCCUUAGUAGGUGGUAAGCCCAUGGGCAUGUUAAAAACCAAUUCGUAUUCUGCUAGGACUUGGUUUAGAUUCGGUGGCACCUUAGGGCUCACUUCGCACAGACCUUCAAAUUGAUUACAUUCCACCAAAAUUCCAGCUCCCUCGUGCUUAAUGGUGCGCAUCAUUGCCUUUAAUGAAACUAAAGUCUUGCCAAGGGAAGGAUCCCCUCGUAGAGUAACAGAUUCAUUUCCGAGCAUGAACUUCAUCACCUGUGUCUUCCAAUUUGUGUGUGUCAUCCCCAAAGUUUCAAGCCACUGAACUCCUAAUAUAGCAUCCGAGCUCCCCAACCCAAGCGGCAAGAAUUCCUCUACAAUAUCUAUUCACUGUAGAUGAAUAGUCACUCCUCGACAUAAACCUUCUCCCCUUACAGCCACUCCAGUACCCAUAGUCACCCCAUAAGCCCCAGUUUUAACAAUGGGUAUCUGCAUCUUACUAACCAAAUCUAGAGAAAUAAAAUUGUGGGUCGCACCUGAAUCAAUCAGUAUCACCACCUCUUGCUCCCCGAUAGACCCUUUAAGCUUCAUCUUCUUUGGUGUAGUCAGACCAACCACUGAGUUAAGAGAGACCUUUACCCCUUGAUUAAUUUCGGCCGUUUCCAGUUCGGGAUCGCCUUCACCCGAACCUUCUUCCUCUUCCUACUCUGCUUCGUCCAUGCCGUAGGUGAGAAGGACAGUCAAUUCUUUCUUCUUGCAGCGAUGCCCAGGUGCCCACUUUUCAUCACAUCGAUAACAUAGUCCCUUCUCUCUUUUCUUCUGUAAUUCUGAAUUGGACAACCUCCUAACCUCUCCCGAAAAUCAGGCCGUGUUAUGAUUUGCCCUAAAUGAAGAUCGCGAAACUUCAGAAUGGAAGUUCACACCUCGCAUUGACCCUCCUGCUCGAUGAAACCCACCAUCUGCUUUGUGGGCCUUGGUCACCCGUAGUUUCUCCUCAAUCUUUUGGGCUAAGUCCAUGGCCCGGCCUAAAUUACUGGGUUCUAUGAUCCGAACCUCGAUCCGGAUUUCAGGCUUCAACCCGUUGAUAAAAUUUCCCAGAGCUAGUUCGUAUAUAAUGUUCUCCAAUGGCACCGAAAGUUCGAUGAAUUUCUGGCAGUAUUCUCACACACUGCUAUCUUGAGUAAGGGCUAGCCAUUAUUCAUGGAGAGAACUGGCUUGGAUUACUCGGAAUUGUUUCAAGAUUAGUACCCUCAUCUCUUCCCAAACCAUCAUGGAUCUCUUUCUAUUCUCCCAUUAAUACCACAACAGGGCAUCUCCCUCAAAAGCUAUUAUCGCCGCCUCAAGUUUUUCUUCAUUGGAUAACCGAUUUACGGAAAAAUAUCGUUCAGCCUUCAGAAUCCAGCCAUCCGAAUUUGAGCCAUCGAACAGUGGCAUCUCAAGUUUUCAGAUUCGAAAAUCAUGGCGAGUUCCGCCUGAGCUCGACCUACCGCCGAAGUUGGGGCUGAGCAUCUUUUCCCUUUUAUUCGAAUACGAACCUCCCGUAUCCUCCUGAAGUUUGAUGAACUGUUCGAAUCGUUUGUUCAUCGUCAGUAUUUCAUCCUUCAACGAUCCCAUUUCCCAUUGAAACUCCUCCUGCGCAGCACCAUCACCUCCUCCAUGGAAUCCAUUCGUUGAGCAACAUUUUGCCAGUCAUUUUCCAAGUACGUGAUUGCUUUGAUACCAAUUUGAUAAGCCUUGAACUGAAAUGGUUAGAUAAACAACACAGUAGAGAGCAUAAUGUUGUUGGAAGUAGGAAAACUGGUAUUUAUCUGCAGAAAUAAACCAAAAUACCCAAGCAUUCGAUAGGCUUGGUAUCUCUCCCAAAAUGAGCAAGCUCACUACAAAAUAAUUCUCUAGAUCCCCUUCCCAAAACACAACUCCUCUCCAUAUAACCUCCUCACUUCUACGCCCAAAUAGAAUCAUAGAAAACUCUAACAAAUUAUCAAAACAGAAUACCAUCAGCUUAUCACUAACAGAAAUGCAUAACAAACUCUUCUCUCUAUACUACUUGAUGACACGUUAGCCACAAUUGGUAUUUCCGGAAUUACCCUUGCGCCUUGCAUAUGUGAAACGCACUUGUGGCCUAACAACAACCAAAAUUGGCGGGAACCUUUGUUUUGUCAUAACAAAAAUGCUUGCUACAAACUCUGAAGUUAUUUCCAUCAGAAAGUGUCCAGCAGUCACAAGCAUUAUCACGGUCAUUGUGCUGCAGAUUGCUCGAAAAAAAUGAGAUAAAUCAAUUUGAUCACCCUGCUUUUCCUCUAGGGCUGCAACUAAUUGAAAAAAAAAAGAUUAAUUCCAUAGAAAUCCAUUAAAGAGGACAUUAACAAAAUAUAUAAAAAUGAAUAUUUAAGUUAUCAUCCACCUGUUCUCUUGAAGUCAUUCUCUUAAUCUCUUUUUUCAUUUGCCUGAAAUCCCAAAAAAUAUCUAACUAAGAACAAAAGUUAGAAAAGGUGUGCACACGCACACACACAUUGCAUUGGAGUUCGUGAAUUUUUAUCUUUUAGCUCAUUCUUUAUUUUAUUAAAAUGGUAGAUCCCUCGUUAAAAGGUGACUCUACAUACGUGUAUGUGUGUGUUCCCUAUAAAAGGACUGAAGAAAAUACAGUAACACGUAAAAAUAUGACUUAAAAUGGCGACCCAAUAGAAACAUAUUAACCCAUAACAGCGCAAAAUAAAAUGUGAAAGCAAGAAACUUACCAGCAAUGCUAUUUAACAUCUGAAGAAGACAGUGUUGCUAAACAUUGACACAUAACCAACACCCCACCCUUUUAGAUCAAUCUGCAUAAGAUGCUGUACUUGUGUUCUGGGCCUACCAUUUUGAGGUUUUAGUGGGGAAAUGUUGAAUCCACCACCUGAGAAAUCAGAAUACAGGAAGCAAGUGGUGCAACUUGGCAUGACUUAGCACUUGUUAAUUCUCUACAUCAACCAAAGUAAAGGACAGAAAACUAACUCUCCACGUGAGCUCGUACAUAUCCUGGCUGUGGACCACAGUUCUCAUGCUCCCUAGAAUGAAAUAACACAACUGCGUGAUAACAAAACACAGCUUAUGGAAACUUCUAGUGCCAGAAAAGAUAGAUUUAAUUUCAAGAAGUGGGGAAGCAAGAACCUUACCAUAACUCGCAGCGUCAUUUCAACGCCAAUAACGCACUUAACAAAGGCCGCGGGGCCAAACAAACCUGCAACCAAAUGAAUUCAUAAAUAUAAAUAAAUUCCGUAGAGGAAAGUAGGAAGAUUAUUUAAAUAAAAAUGAUAAAUUUCAGGGAAUUCCACUAUCCUCUGAAUAAAACAGAUAACCCAUGUGGUUUUAAAAUUCAUUAGACCCUUCCCCUGAACUUUUCAAAUUUGCCACAGAACUCCCCUAAAAUCCAUAUGAGACCUUUCUAGAGAAUUUUUUUGGAAUCAAGGAGAAGCUUUUAGACGAACUUCUAAACCAAACUAAGCCCUAUAUUUAAGUCAUAUUGAGGAAACAUAAGAAAAAAAAUUCCAGAAAAAGUAUCAGCUAAGAAUUAAAAUUAAAUUCAUCAAAAUGAUCUCAAUCACU